This 253-nucleotide ribosomal RNA is filed under the name uncultured bacterium. Its description in RNAcentral is "partial 16S ribosomal RNA". It matches the Rfam family "Bacterial small subunit ribosomal RNA", at positions 524 to 776 of the family's 1533-position model. The record is from RNAcentral.
UACGUAGGUGGCAAGCGUUGUCCGGAUUUAUUGGGUUUAAAGGGUGCGUAGGCGGCCCUAUAAGUCAGUGCUGAAAUAUCCCGGCUUAACCGGGAGGGUGGCAUUGAUACUGUAGGGCUUGAGUGUAGUCGAGGUAGGCGGAAUUGACGGUGUAGCGGUGAAAUGCUUAGAUAUCGUCAAGAACACCUAUAGCGAAGGCAGCUUACUAGGCUGUAACUGACGCUGAGGCACGAAAGUGUGGGGAUCAAACAGG